Molecule: long non-coding RNA, 613 nt
Filed under: Olea europaea (common olive)
Lineage: Eukaryota; Viridiplantae; Streptophyta; Magnoliopsida; Lamiales; Oleaceae
Description: long non-coding RNA (OEUR_LNC014706)
Source: RNAcentral
AAAGAAGUAACCCUAUGCCACCUGCGAGUUCCUCGACUGCCUCCGCCUUCAAGACUCGACCAGCCAGGCAGCGACCAGGUGACGGCAAGAAGCUUCUUCUCUUCUUCUUCUGUUCCGGCGUUCCCUUUUCUCUUUCACGGCAGGCAGGCAGGCAGCUUCUUCUCUUCUUCGACCCUUUUUUCAAAUUUCAACCGGUAGCAGAUUGUUUACUUGUUCUGAAAUAUUUAUAAAAAGAAAUAUAUACCUGUGUAGUGCAUUGAAUUGAUUCAAUUGAAUUUGUGAAGCUCGUUGCUGUAAGUUUGACCUUUUUGUUUAAAUUAAGUUACAUUAGAUGUUUCAAUAUAUGUAUUUUUUUCAUUUUGGAGUAUGACAUAUAUAAGAAUUUUGUAAUUAGAAAUUAGAACCCUAGUUGAGUUGAAUUUUGUUAUGAUGGAAGAAAGGAGGGGGGAAAUCAGUUGAAUUGGAGAAGGCAGAACCAAUUUUCGGAAAUUUCAUCUCUGAAUUCCCUGUCUCCUCCUUUUCUGUUUUUCUGCUUAAUUGUUUCUUCUCUGUAAUUGCAUUCUGAAAUUCUAAUUGAAAAUUUGGGUUUUGAGAAUUUCCAUUGGAAUCUAUU